This 253-nucleotide ribosomal RNA is filed under the name uncultured bacterium. RNAcentral describes it as "partial 16S ribosomal RNA". It matches the Rfam family "Bacterial small subunit ribosomal RNA", at positions 524 to 776 of the family's 1533-position model. The record is from RNAcentral.
UACGUAGGGUCCGAGCGUUGUCCGGAGUUACUGGGCGUAAAGCGCGCGCAGGCGGCGGUGUUGGCCCGGCGUGAAAGCCCCCGGCUCAACCGGGGAGAGUCGUCGGGGACCGCACCGCUUGAGGGCGGUAGGGGCUGGUGGAAUGCCUGGUGUAGUGGUGAAAUGCGUAGAUAUCGGGAGGAACAUCAGUGGCGAAGGCGGCUGCCUGGCCCAAUACUGACACUCAGGUGCGACAGCGUGGGGAGCAAACAGG